Molecule: long non-coding RNA, 1278 nt
Organism: Drosophila pseudoobscura
Lineage: Eukaryota; Metazoa; Arthropoda; Insecta; Diptera; Drosophilidae
Exons: 2
Source: RefSeq, a predicted model, not a curated record
GACUUUUUGAUGUCCAUUUUAGGUUUUACCCGACAUAGAACUUCCACAAAAAAAUAAACAAAAUAAUUGAAUUUUUGAUUAGGCAUCAAAGAAGGCGUACCGAAAGGUUAUGACCCAUCCCAUCAAUAGACUCAUCCACAAAUUGUUUAUAGAAUUAAGAAAACAGUUUUACCAGCGUGUCUAUCUCUCUCUUCGUCUCCCAAGGUGGCUUAGAACUUAGGGAUUAUUUAUAUAUUCACCACUUCUGGUCCUGUCCAGCUCUCUGCAGAAUAAGGCUUCAAUACUUGGGAUUGACCUUUCUAAAUGACAUUUUGGAGAUGUCUACACUAUGUUCCAGGAAGAUCGCUAACUUUGUGAGAGCAUCCGGAUGGGAUAAUUGCUGACGUGAAGUCCCACAAAGCAGGAACGGAAAGAUCCCAAACGGUAUCACAAUGGGCCGUAACCGGCUGAAGAGCGACAAGCAACAGCCCCUACCCAACCUAAUCUAACUUAUAUAUUCAUUGUAAACAUCUUUUACUUGUUUAUUUAACCCUAUAAUCACAAUCUGUUGUCCUUUCUACUUUUUUUGACCAUUCACUCACUACAUUGCCAAUGAUUCCGCCUAAAGUAAAGUCGCUCCCACUAUAAAGUGUUGGUGCUCCCUGCUCACUAAUAAUUUCAUUUCAAUGGAAGUCCAAUUUAUUCCUUAUUUAUACGAUUCGGGGAGAGAUCGUGAACCCAAGUACUUUCCGACAAAAAAUCUAUAAAUUUAGAGUUUCCCAGAAAUCGCAUUUAGCUUGAAUUCACAUUAAAUGUCAAUCUGCUGUUAUCAUUUCUUCAAUUUCUUCGGGAUUAAAAGCUGCCGUUUGUAUUCCAAACGCAUUCAAUUUCAUAAUAGCAAUCGAAAUGAAAAUUGUAAUUAUCGUCUUGGUCGUGCUGGCAGCUUCGAUUACAGUGGAAGCCAGAGGAUGCUGUUAUAUAAUUUGUCAGCAAAAAUCGCGAGAACAACACUAUGAUCCGCCAGCCCCGAAUCCUCCACCAGUCCGGCAGCCUGCAUCGAGUCCCCCUGGUUCGAGUGGGACAUAUCCUAUCAUAGAUCUCUCUGCUCGUGGAUUUUGGCACAAAAGAUAAUGUUAUAUGUGUGUGUAUGUGAAUCUCAGUACAGCACUCGUAGAUUCUUGUUCUUCUUUUAAAACGGAUUAUCUUUUUACCAAAAUUGUUUGUUAAAGUCAAGUUGAAGUAAAGUUGCUGGUAUCGUAAAAACAAAGUAAAAUCUUUAUGAUAUAUAGUCGUCUAAAA